Molecule: long non-coding RNA, 2139 nt
Organism: Chelonia mydas (Green sea turtle)
Lineage: Eukaryota; Metazoa; Chordata; Testudines; Cheloniidae
Exons: 3
Source: RefSeq, a predicted model, not a curated record
CCGGGCUCUGUGAAGUCAGGCUGGUGCUGAGAGUGGUGCAGGAAGCAGCAGUGGCUUUGUAAAGGCUGUUCCAGCAUCAGGGAGUUGGAAGCCCUGAGAGAGGCUGGAUAACUGACCUGGACACAAAGAGACUGAGGAGAGUCUGCUAAGCCUGUGACCAUGCCCCAGACUGAGGCGCUCCAGACAGUUGCAGCCUCACCUGGCUCAUCUGAAGGUCCGUGGUAGCUUGUGAUCUAUGAAGCUUUGCCUCCGGGCACCCUGGGCUUCGCCAGCUGCGAGGACUCCGGAGAGGCCAGGCUCUGAGACGCUGCAGCCGGGUAGAGAGGAGGCGUAGCGCCAUGGAGAAUGGGCAUAGGGGAACGUCCAGCACCCCCAAGAUCUGGCUUCACCAGCACCCCUUCUCCUUGACAAGCCAGCUCCACAAGUGCCAGACCUCAGCCUGGAACCUGAAUCAAGCACAACCGAAGCCAGUAUUCACAUCUGGGAGAAUACAGCGAUCUGCUCCUUUCCCCUCUGCGGUCCACGCAGGGGCUGUGCCCAUCCGGAGCUCCAGCUCACCCAGGGACUCCAGGGCCAGAGAAUCCUUCAGGUCUGAUGAAGGACUAAGUUCAUUGAAGCUGAACCUCCCAGUGAAUCCGAGAGGCCUGGCUCGUUUCCAACCCCUGCACCAUAAACUCCUGGAUUCAGUUUGCAAAGCCAAUCUGCACAGCUCCAGUCCAGAGACGGGGAAAGAGGAAGGCACAGAGAGACACCAUUGACCCUGGAGCAUGCACAAUUGGAGUAUGCUGUGCAGCCAGCUCCCGGUCGGAGAGACCCCAUCCUGCCACGUGAUGGAAUAUCACUAACAGCAGCAUGCAUGUGGAGGGCCAAGGAACUCCCAUUGACUUCAGUGGGCAUUGGGUCAGCCCCAAGGAGAGGCUGCUGGGAAGCCAGGGGAAAGGAAGCCGUUAGAAGGAGGGAGGCCCUAGCAGGGAAAUUGGGGAGAGAGAGAAACUCAGAAGCUGAGUUAAACUUUGGAACACGGAGGGGCUGGUUUGGUCUGAACCAAUCACUAAUCACUCAUUUGAUUCUUGGCCAUUUUCUCUGACUCCCUCUUGCUGCAGUGCAGACGCUGUGUUCUGAGGCGCUGGCCCGGAGCUCAGAACCGCACUCUUCAUCUGGUCGUGUUGUCUGGGGAAGAGUGCACACGUAUCGAGUUUAAUUGUUCCAGCUAAGCAGAUCACGAGGGCCAAACAGGGCCUACGUUUUCCUGAGGGCAAGUCUACAUGGCAAGUUACUGUGCAGCAAGCCAGGGUCUGCAUGUACAGUGCCCCAGCUUGCUGCGCAAUAACUCCCCACACGGCCACUGCUACACUGCAGCGAAAGUCCCGCAGUGCGGCUUGGCUCCCUGCUAGGGCGCUGCACAUCCAUACCCUGGCUUGCUGCACAGCUGCGUAGACACUCCCUAAGGAAAACAUCGGCUGUAUUUUGAGCCUAGUGAUCUGGGUAAGGAGACUGAUUUCAGUUUCCUAUUUCCAAUCAGCAGCAGGGGAAAACUGUGUUGAAAAUGAGGCCACGGUAGGACCCUUUAAUAGAAAUUUACAGCUAAAUCCUGUAUGUGCCACUCAGCCAAACUCCCACUGGCUUCACUUGAGUUCUUCCCCUGUAAGGGCUAAGAAAAGGUGUCACUGGAACUGCAAAGAGGCAGUAGCUUCUGCUGUGCACAACCCUCCCUACAUAGUCACUUUUCAUCAGGCCCCUCGCUUUGCCCUCCCUCUAAAAUCCUCCAGAAAGAUGCAUUUCAGCAUUUCCACUUCCCUGCUGGGAGAUGCCAGCAAGGCGGCGAUAAGGGGCAAAGCUAUUGCAGUCGCUGUGCAGAGGACCCUAUGAGCAACUCAACAACUUCAGGCACUUUGAGAACAUUGGGCCCAGUUGGAAAAAUUAUAUAGAUGUGUCUUGGCAAACAACACUGGGGAAGACAUGGUCAAGAUGAGAAGACAUAAAUAUAAUUGAUCUCAACCAAAUGAAACAUACAAUUAGAGCUACACAAGGCUUUCAUUGUGAGAGAGCCAGUGAACCUGCCAAAUCCAAAGCCUGGGUCUUAUAUAUAACACGAGUGUGACAAAGAUGAAAACUUCUUGAAAAGCUAGGGCCCAGAUC